AAUGGGGAGGAUUUUGCUGAUGGAAGAAGUCAAAUUAAGAAAUGAGCAAACAGCCCCUUUGAUGAUAAGGAAGGCUGAAAUGUUGCAUGCGGACCACCCAUGGGGAUCAUUCCUUGCCUGGAAGCUGCUCUGUAGCUGGCAUGGAUGUCCAGAAGUACUUCCACCUAGUCUCAGCAUUAACCUCUUCAGUGCUGGGUGUACAAACCAAGAGGAAUCUCAACUGCCUGCCUCGUUGGUAGGUCUUGAGCAAUGACCCUCAGCACCUCUGGAAAGGGCCACGUGGCUCCUCAUCAAUAAGCCAUCGUGAAGGGAAAAUCUAUCAGGCAGCUGCCUUUUAAUUAGAGGAUAGCUAAGUGCUACCUUAUGAUCCAUGAGGUGAUGCAUAUUUAAUAACACCAGCUCCCAUCUGCUGUUGCCUAGUGCUGUGUUUUAGGAAGUGCAGACUGGAAAGCCCUCUUUGAUGUUUCUUCAUGCUGGCUGCUCUUUGAAACAGGGAAAGCACAGUGACUCGCUGGCCACGGGUGCUUCAGCCAUUCCAAGAACAGGGGAAGGCCAUUUUGUGAAGGAAGAGC
Long non-coding RNA from Gallus gallus (chicken), 572 nucleotides. The record is from Ensembl. NCBI's taxonomy places the organism in Eukaryota, Metazoa, Chordata, Aves, Galliformes, Phasianidae.